UUACCUCAAAAGAGGACUGAAUACUAAAUUGUGAGGUAACAGACUUCUCUUCUUCUUUCUCUCUAUAAUUUCUCUCUAUAAUAAUUGUUCUAUAGCUUUAGUGAAUUGGUGAAAAAUAAUGAAGGAAUGAGCUUCUAUUUAUAGGAAAAUAUAGUUUCGAUAAUUGCACGUUUUGGGGCUCAAAAUAUUACAAUAUAAUACCUUCCUUUUUUCCUUCAUUUUUAAUUUAG
This 230-nucleotide long non-coding RNA is filed under the name Panax ginseng (ginseng). Its description in RNAcentral is "long non-coding RNA (PGIN_LNC000020)". Lineage: Eukaryota; Viridiplantae; Streptophyta; Magnoliopsida; Apiales; Araliaceae. The record is from RNAcentral.